RNAcentral lists this ribosomal RNA (400 nucleotides) under uncultured bacterium. RNAcentral's name for it is "bacterial SSU rRNA". It matches the Rfam family "Bacterial small subunit ribosomal RNA", at positions 355 to 747 of the family's 1533-position model. The record is from RNAcentral.
UGGGGAAUUUUGGACAAUGGGCGCAAGCCUGAUCCAGCCAUGCCGCGUGUCUGAAGAAGGCCUUCGGGUUGUAAAGGACUUUUGUCAGGAAGGAAAUCCUAGUGGCUAAUACCCAUUGGGGAUGACAGUACCUGAAGAAUAAGCACCGGCUAACUACGUGCCAGCAGCCGCGGUAAUACGUAGGGUGCAAGCGUUAAUCGGAAUUACUGGGCGUAAAGCGUGCGCAGGCGGCUUGUUAAGCUUGAUGUGAAAUCCCCGGGCUCAACCUGGGAACUGCAUUGAGGACUGGCAAGCUAGAGUGCGGCAGAGGGGGUUGGAAUUCCACGUGUAGCAGUGAAAUGCGUAGAGAUGUGGAGGAACACCGAUGGCGAAGGCAGACCCCUGGGUCGACACUGACGCU